This 842-nucleotide long non-coding RNA is filed under the name Solanum lycopersicum (tomato). RNAcentral's name for it is "uncharacterized LOC101244641, transcript variant 1 (LOC101244641)". Lineage: Eukaryota; Viridiplantae; Streptophyta; Magnoliopsida; Solanales; Solanaceae. The record is from RNAcentral.
AGAGUGAUAUUUUUCUAACUUCAAUCGUUUUCUUUUUUACUCUAGAGAGAAUAGAAUCUCCCGUUUUCUAGAAACCCGAAAUAUUCUGGAUUGUUCGAUACGGUCCGCUACUACGUUCUCUGGACGCAAAAGAUUUUCCGAUCGGCAACCGGAGGCGGCAGAGAAUUUCAAUUGCCGUCGUUUAGGUGGUUCAAUCAUCAAUGGAUCAUUCCUAUCAAGUUAAUCACAGUUGUGCCCUAAAUCCUCCCAAAGACGGCCUCCCUAGCACCCAGUCUUCUAAUGAUGCACUUAGGCAGAUGGGAUCUGAAGGGAAAAUGGGAGCAGUUCAUGAAGAAAUGAAGAGAGUGAGUAGACUUCCACCAAGCAGUACAUAUGCAACUCAUCGGAUGCGCGUCCUUAACAAAAUCCUGCAACUUAUGUCCAUUCAGAGAACCACUUCACAGGAUGAGGAGUUGGAAUUGCUAUUUUCUGGGCUCUCUCUUGGAUGAUAAGAAGCAAAGAUCAUAUUUUCAGCCGUUGGUUUAUCAGAUACGCAGUGGAUCAUUUAUGUUGCUCACUUCGUCUUUGGUCUUCAGCUGCAUCUUCGCAAACCGUUUCUUUUUGAUGUAGAGAUGAUGCUUUGAUUAUUAAAUAAGUUAUACUGGUUAUAUAAUAGGUCUAGAAUUAAACCUGUUAUCUCAAUUAUGUGGUGGAUCAUCUGGCUGUCAAAGUUAGUUGAUUUCAACUUGAACUCUUGGAUUCCAGGUGAAUCAAUGCUCCACAGUACAAUAUUUUGAUGACUUUUUGGCUAAAGGAUCCUUCAAUUUACAGAUUUUUGUUUUGGCUCGCGUUGAAAAAAAAAA